CUACGGGUCGCACCAGUGAGGAAUAUUGCACAAUGGGGGGAACCCUGAUGCAGCAACGCCGCGUGGAGGAUGACGCAUUUCGGUGUGUAAACUCCUUUUAUAUGUCAAGAAAAUGACGGUAGCAUAUGAAUAAGCACCGGCUAACUCCGUGCCAGCAGCCGCGGUAAUACGGAGGGUGCAAGCGUUACGCGGAAUCACUGGGCGUAAAGGACGCGUAGGCGGGGUGGAAAGUCAGGUGUGAAAUCCUACAGCUUAACUGUAGAACUGCACUUGAAACUUCUAAUCUAGAGUAUGGGAGGGGGAGAUGGAAUUAGUGGUGUAGGGGUAAAAUCCGUAGAUAUCACUAGGAAUACCUAAAGCGAAGGCGAUCUCCUGGAACAUUACUGACGCUAAGGCGUGAAAGCGUGGGGAGCAAACAGGAUUAGAUACCCCGGUAGUC
Molecule: ribosomal RNA, 439 nt
Filed under: uncultured bacterium
Lineage: Bacteria
Description: partial 16S ribosomal RNA
Rfam family: Bacterial small subunit ribosomal RNA
Source: RNAcentral